This 569-nucleotide ribosomal RNA is filed under the name uncultured bacterium. Its description in RNAcentral is "partial 16S ribosomal RNA". It matches the Rfam family "Bacterial small subunit ribosomal RNA", at positions 355 to 1375 of the family's 1533-position model. The record is from RNAcentral.
UGGGGAAUAUUGCACAAUGGGCGAAAGCCUGAUGCAGCGACGCCGCGUGAGGGAUGACGGCCUUCGGGUUGUAAACCUCUUUCAGCAGGGAAGAAGCGAAAGUGACGGUACCUGCAGAAGAAGCGCCGGCUAACUACGUGCCAGCAGCCGCGGUAAUACGUAGGGCGCAAGCGUUGUCCGGAAUUAUUGGGCGUAAAGAGCUCGUAGGCGGUUAGUCGCGUCUGCUGUGAAAACUCGAGGCUCAACCUCGGGCUUGCAGUGGGUACGGGCUGACUAGAGUGUGGUAGGGGUGACUGGAAUUCCUGGUGUAGCGGUGGAAUGCGCAGAUAUCAGGAGGAACACCGAUGGCGAAGGCAGGUCACUGGGCCGCAACUGACGCUGAGGAGCGAAAGCAUGGGGAGCGAACAGGAUUAGAUAGCCCUGGUAGUCCAUGCCGUAAACGUUGGGCACUAGGUGUGGGUCCAUUCCACGGAUUCCGUGCCGCAGCAAAGCGCAUUAAGUGCCCCGCCUGGGGAGUACGGCCGCAAGGCUAAAACUUAAAUGAAUUGACGGGGUCAUAGCUGUUUCCU